Molecule: long non-coding RNA, 610 nt
Filed under: Rhinopithecus bieti (black snub-nosed monkey)
Lineage: Eukaryota; Metazoa; Chordata; Mammalia; Primates; Cercopithecidae
Description: lncRNA (ENSRBIG00000045985.1)
Source: RNAcentral
UCCCCUAGCCCUGUGCCCAUCCCACUGUGUCACAGAAGACACAGUGUCACAGAAGACACAGUGUCACAGAAGACACUGGAAAGCCUUUCUCUGAGUCACAGUCUGUAUCUUCUAGAAAAGGCUGUCCAUCUUCACCCCAAGCCCACUGGCUCCUGAAACACAACAUCCAGACCCAGUGCAGCUGGACCUGGCCCAGGGGAGAAACGGCACAUUAACAAAAUUCCAAUAAUGAAUAUCAUGGUGACAAAGCAGAGAGAAAGCACAAACAAUAGAAGGAAAUGUUGAACGAUUCCCUUUCAUCUCCUAACGGCAGUGUGAGGCUGGACACGUCUACUCCUGGGAAUAGAAUCCAAGGGCAAAAGUCCCUCGCAAUGAGGAGCCCACAUUCUGAGCUGAAAUGUAUGAACACCACAGCUUCAGGGCCAGGCAAAGUUGGGUUUGUGUCCCAGCAGUGCAACUCUCGGGCCUUUGAGCCUCGUUCUCCUCUUCUAUACAAUGGAGCCACUGACACCUCUUUCCUGUGUGUUAGAAACACCACCUAAGAAGAUGUAGAUAAAGUGACUCUGCAAGGUAAGAAUUCCAUAAAUAUUGACUCCCCUCCCCACCACAU